Molecule: ribosomal RNA, 484 nt
Filed under: uncultured bacterium
Lineage: Bacteria
Description: bacterial SSU rRNA
Rfam family: Bacterial small subunit ribosomal RNA
Source: RNAcentral
GACGAACGCUGGCGGCGUGCUUAAUACAUGCAAGUCAACUGAACUUAAGAUAGCAAUAUUUUAAGGGAGGUGGCGCACGGGUGAGUAACACGUAGGUAAUCUGCCUUUAGGUCUGACAUAACCUACCGAAAGGUAGGCUAAAAUCAGAUGAUGCAGCGGCUCGACAUCGAGACAGUUGUUAAAUCUUCGGAGCCUAGAGAUGAGCCUGCGUCUGAUUAGGUAGUUGGCGGAGUAAUAGCCCACCAAGCCUGCGAUCAGUAGCUGGUCUGAGAGGAUGAUCAGCCACACUGGAACUGAGACACGGUCCAGACUCCUACGGGAGGCAGCAGUAAGGAAUAUUGCUCAAUGGCCGAAAGGCUGAAGCAGCAACGCCGCGUGGAGGAUGAAAUACUUUGUAUGUAAACUCCUGUAAGAAGGGAAAAAUAGUACCUGAUUAUCAGGAUUGAUUGUACCUUCAGAGUAAGCCCGGCUAACUACGUGCCAG